RNAcentral lists this ribosomal RNA (442 nucleotides) under Triglyphus fulvicornis. RNAcentral describes it as "partial 16S ribosomal RNA". Lineage: Eukaryota; Metazoa; Arthropoda; Insecta; Diptera; Syrphidae. The record is from RNAcentral.
AAACGGNUACACCUAAAUUUAUAUCUUAAUCCAACAUCGAGGUCGCAAUCUUUUUUAUCAAUAUGAACUCUCCAAAAAAAUUACGCUGUUAUCCCUAAAGUAACUUAAUUUUUUAAUCAUUAAAAAUGGAUCAUUUAUUCAUAAAUUAAUGUUUUAAAUUUUAAAAGUUAUUUAAAUUUUAAUAUCACCCCAAUAAAAUAUAAUUAUUUAUUAUAAUAAAAUUAAUCUAUAAAAUUAAAAUAAAUAAUUAUAUAAAGAUUUAUAGGGUCUUCUCGUCUUUUAAUUAAAUUUUAGCUUUUUGACUAAAAAAUAAAAUUUUAUUAUAAUUUUAAAUGAAACAGUUAAUACUUCGUCCAACCAUUCAUUCUAGCCUUCAAUUAAAAGACUAAUGAUUAUGCUACCUUUGCACAGUUAAAAUACUGCGGCCAUUUAAAUAUUCAGU